This 572-nucleotide ribosomal RNA is filed under the name Alternaria alternata. RNAcentral's name for it is "eukaryotic LSU rRNA". The stretch from base 197 to 350 matches the Rfam family "5.8S ribosomal RNA". The record is from RNAcentral. Lineage: Eukaryota; Fungi; Ascomycota; Dothideomycetes; Pleosporales; Pleosporaceae.
UUCCGUAGGUGAACCUGCGCAGGGAUCAUUACACAAAUAUGAAGGCGGGCUGGAACCUCUCGGGGUUACAGCCUUGCUGAAUUAUUCACCCUUGUCUUUUGCGUACUUCUUGUUUCCUUGGUGGGUUCGCCCACCACUAGGACAAACAUAAACCUUUUGUAAUUGCAAUCAGCGUCAGUAACAAAUUAAUAAUUACAACUUUCAACAACGGAUCUCUUGGUUCUGGCAUCGAUGAAGAACGCAGCGAAAUGCGAUAAGUAGUGUGAAUUGCAGAAUUCAGUGAAUCAUCGAAUCUUUGAACGCACAUUGCGCCCUUUGGUAUUCCAAAGGGCAUGCCUGUUCGAGCGUCAUUUGUACCCUCAAGCUUUGCUUGGUGUUGGGCGUCUUGUCUCUAGCUUUGCUGGAGACUCGCCUUAAAGUAAUUGGCAGCCGGCCUACUGGUUUCGGAGCGCAGCACAAGUCGCACUCUCUAUCAGCAAAGGUCUAGCAUCCAUUAAGCCUUUUUUUCAACUUUUGACCUCGGAUCAGGUAGGGAUACCCGCUGAACUUAAGCAUAUCAAUAAGCGGAGGAA